AUGAACGCUGACAGACUGCUUCACACAUGCCAGUCAACUUGAAUUUGGGUUUUUAACUUAGGUUUGGGUGGCGGACGGGUGAGUAACGCGUAAAGAACUUGCCUCACAGCUAGGGACAACAUUUGGAAACGAAUGCUAAUACCUAAUAUUAUGAUAAUAGGGCAUCCUAUAAUUAUGAAAGCUAUAAGCGCUGUGAGAGAGCUUUGCGUCCCAUUAGCUAGUUGGAGAGGUAACGGCUCACCAAGGCGAUGAUGGGUAGCCGGCCUGAGAGGGUGAUCGGCCACAAGGGGACUGAGACACGGCCCUUACUCCUACGGGAGGCAGCAGUGGGGAAUAUUGGACAAUGGACCGAGAGUCUGAUCCAGCAAUUCUGUGUGCACGAUGAAGUUUUUCGGAAUGUAAAGUGCUUUCAGUUGGGAAGAAACAAAUGACGGUACCAACAGAAGAAGUGACGGCUAAAUACGUG
This 466-nucleotide ribosomal RNA is filed under the name uncultured bacterium. Its description in RNAcentral is "partial 16S ribosomal RNA". It matches the Rfam family "Bacterial small subunit ribosomal RNA", at positions 29 to 507 of the family's 1533-position model. The record is from RNAcentral.